CAUCUACUUUAGUAAAUUUUAUGAGCUAAGUGUUAUCCUGGUGAAGAUGAUCUAGCCAUUGAACGGGCAGUUCUUAUGUACUUGUCUAUGGGUAAUCUUCGAGAUGCUAAUUACCUUAUGGAUGAAUUAAAGAGACUAGCGGAUUCCCAGGAGCUUUAUUUCCCCGAAUCGGAUUUGAUUCAGUUUAUCACUCUUCUCUUGCUAACGUUGGAAAGAGAUGCCUUGCCUCUAUUUAAUAUGUUGAGAGUGAAUUACAAGUCUAGCAUAGACAGAGAACCUGCAUUCAGUGAGUUGCUAGAUGAAAUUGCUGAAAAGUUCUAUGGCGUACAGCGGAGAAACCCCCUUCAAGGGAUGUUUGGUGACUUAUUCAAGAUAAUGUGCUGAGUAAGAACAUGGCUGCAACCCGAGUUUGUCGGAAUUUGUUGAAAUCUGCGGGUGCUUUGACUGAUCCAGACUGCUGAUUUUCGUUACGUCUUUGGUUUGAUGGCAAAUUCCUU
This is a long non-coding RNA of Hibiscus syriacus, 497 nucleotides long. RefSeq lists it as uncharacterized. Lineage: Eukaryota; Viridiplantae; Streptophyta; Magnoliopsida; Malvales; Malvaceae. The record is from RefSeq and is a predicted model, not a curated record. The transcript has 6 exons.